Long non-coding RNA from Dromaius novaehollandiae (emu), 1197 nucleotides. RefSeq lists it as uncharacterized. The record is from RefSeq and is a predicted model, not a curated record. The transcript has 5 exons. Lineage: Eukaryota; Metazoa; Chordata; Aves; Casuariiformes; Dromaiidae.
UUUAGAUUUUUCUCCCUAAUGAAUCUCUUCUUCAGCUCUUGCAGCCUGUUCAGGAGGUGGCUGCUUAACGAGACAUGUAGCUUGGCUACUGGGCAAACACGCUGGAGCCUGUGUCUGCAAGCUUGCUGAUGCCGCCAGAUGCCUGCCGUGUCGGAGCCGCACACCCGGUGGACUCCGAUGCCCAACCCCUUCUUCUGGAGCUAGUAAUUCAGCCUCUGCUUCCUGCUUGAGUAAACUCUGCAAAAGACCACAUCUGGGGUUUUUCAGCUAGGAGCACGCUUGUGGAGAAAAUAGAGGACUAAUUAUCAAGGAGCCACACAGCAGUCAUUGGGAUAGUCAUCCAAAAGGAACGUAAAAUUCGAAGUCUCUGCAAUCAUACCCAUAGCGCUCUUCUCUCAUUCCUGCAUUGUAGCCAAGGACAGCUGGACAACAUCAGGAUUUAGUACGGAAUUGCUGCCUUGAGGAGAAACAGGGUUUUUAUGCGCUCUGCAUCCCUGCACUGACAAACAGUUUCACUGAGAUCUGAGUCCUCUCCGAAGUACCAGCCAAGUUCUGGCUAAAGACAAGGAGAUCUCUGUGGAGCAGGGUUUGGUUUUCAUUUUUUAGUUGAAAAUGUCGUUUGAUUCUGUGCUACACAGUGGGUCGAGCAAUGAAAUAUGUGUCUCUGAGCCGUAAUGAUAGAUGCUAUUGCAGUUUACAUAUGGCAGGUUUACAUAAUUAGGUUACAUAUGGCAAAAUCUGUACAAAAGGGAAAUUAUGAAUAAUGUGUAUGCCUCUUGCCUUUUCUGUUCCCUCUGCAUGACACUGAAUUUUAAGUUGCAUUUUUCAAGAUUUGUGUAUGUACUAUUACGUAAAUUGCAAAUAGAUGCCAUGAUUUUCUCUGUCUAAAAUUAAAUAGUCUGACACCUGUAUGAGUAUGCUUAUUUGCACAGGAGACUUCAUAGAAAGCCAUAAUUUGUUUAAAUUAUGGCUUGUUAAUGAGUUAAAUGGUUGUGAACAAUCAUCCUUUCCAAAGAUUAUUAGUACUAAUUCUCAUCUCCUUUUCUUGCCCUCCUGCUUAGUGUGUUAAGAAAACAGCUGAGAUUUGUUUUCUUCCCACAAUGCAGUUGAAAAUUACAUAUAUAGUAUUAAAACAGUGUUGGUAGCAAAGCACUUGGAUGAAUGGAAUGGAAGGCUUAAUAAAAAUGAUUGAUUGGA